Non-coding RNA from Oncorhynchus mykiss (rainbow trout), 1338 nucleotides. Lineage: Eukaryota; Metazoa; Chordata; Actinopteri; Salmoniformes; Salmonidae. The record is from RefSeq and is a predicted model, not a curated record.
AAGAAAGUACAGCAUCUUGCAGGUGUUAGUUUUGUAAAUGAUUCAAGCUCUGACCGCACUCAUCAUUACAAAUGCUACCUGAGGUGAACUUGUGGUAAACUGGGAACUCUGGGGACAGGACAAGGACAACACUAAAAGGCCACUGAACCCACACGUGGUGCCUGCAUGAUACACUCAACCCACACAUGGCGCCUGCACGAUACAACAUUAGAAUACAAGUAGUACUAAUCAUUAAGGAAUGGCAGAACAAGGAGCUGCUCUCACUUAUGACUCCACUGUCUGAUGAAAGAACAAAGCCGCUUGAUGACAAUGGAUCCUCAAAAGGUCAAAGGGCAGACUAACCUCUCAGGCAGUAACAUCCCAGUCUGCUUCAGUGGUCCAGAAAUCAGGAGCAAACCAAGACUCAGCUGGAUAGUGAUGAUUCGCUCACCCCCUGCCAUGUCAGCUGACCAGGAAUGAGGCAAGCUGCCUCGUUACCCCCGAGACUGUCUGGAGGCCUUCCUCUCCUCUGAGGACCCAGUGAGGGUGGAGCACAGUGAGACACUUCUACAGCCAGAGAGUCAAGAAAUGGAACAGCAAGGCCACAGAACAUGACAUACGCAGAGCUGUGGGAGACCACCUGAAGCAUAGGUAGAGACAGGGGAAUUCCCCUUUACCACGCCACCACCAAACACCUUCAACAGGCUUGGUCUGUUUGAUCCAUUUGUUUGUUUCAGUUUUCAGUAGUUGAAUCAUUUGACGCAUUGUUGAUUUAAAAAAAUUCAACAAAUGGAUUGGUUUUAAAGGUGAUACUAAACUUAUAUACCAUGCACAAUUUUGACAUAGUGGAAGAUAUCCUGAAUUUGUACCAUCUUUCAUUCUAAUAUGGACCAAGAUGUAUGUAGCUUUUGCAGAUAUUUGUUCAUUAGUUUUGCAAGAGUGUUGAUUGGUCGAUCAUUGGGUUCAUUAGUUUCUCAAUAUGCCAUUGAUUAAAAGAGUAAGAAUUUGAUGCAAUAUCCAACCCAAAAUAUAAGCUUGUUUUACUCCAUUGUUUGCAAACAAUACAAUUGUAAAAAACAAAAGUCAGUUGGUUGCAUAAAUAAUGACAAUUACUAAAUGUUACUUGAAAUAUCAAAACCGAAUUGAAACGCCUUUGAUAAAAUUUAAUGGCAAUAAUUCAGUUAAUGGUAAGGCAUGGAAUAAUGGACGUUUGAAAUAUGAGCAGGUGAUGAUUCGAGUCAUAGUUCUUCAGUAGUGGAAUAAAGACAAUUAGAACAAAUGUUGUACAGAAAUACUGUGUGUAAAUACUGGCGUGAUGUAUGAUUGUUAAUAAAAUUGUCCAUAUACCAAAAAACAUUA